RNAcentral lists this ribosomal RNA (640 nucleotides) under uncultured bacterium. RNAcentral describes it as "bacterial SSU rRNA". The stretch from base 1 to 540 matches the Rfam family "Bacterial small subunit ribosomal RNA", at positions 338 to 873 of the family's 1533-position model. The record is from RNAcentral.
CCUACGGGAGGCAGCAGUGAGGAAUAUUGGACAAUGGGCGCAAGCCUGAUCCAGCCAUGCCGCGUGCAGGAAGACGCAUCUAUGGUGUGUAAACUGCUUUUGUACGGGAAGAAACACUCCCUCGUGAGGGAGCUUGACGGUACCGUAAGAAUAAGGAUCGGCUAACUCCGUGCCAGCAGCCGCGGUAAUACGGAGGAUCCAAGCGUUAUCCGGAAUCAUUGGGUUUAAAGGGUCCGUAGGCGGUUUAAUAAGUCAGUGGUGAAAGCCCAUCGCUCAACGAUGGAACGGCCAUUGAUACUGUUAGACUUGAAUUACUAGGAAGUAACUAGAAUAUGUAGUGUAGCGGUGAAAUGCUUAGAUAUUACAUGGAAUACCAAUUGCGAAGGCAGGUUACUACUAGUGGAUUGACGCUGAUGGACGAAAGCGUGGGGAGCGAACGGGAUUAGACACCCUGGUAGUCCACGCCGUAAACGAUGGAUACUAGCUGGUUGGGCGCAAGUUCGUAGUAGGUCGUAGACGAAGUAGAGUAAGUAUACCACCGUACGGGUAGGUACGGUUACGUCGAAGAAGUAGAACGUAACGAAAGAGUAGUAGUACGGUCGUAGAGACGACGACGACGACGACGACGGAGGGAGGGAGG